Molecule: ribosomal RNA, 427 nt
Filed under: uncultured Clostridium sp.
Lineage: Bacteria; Bacillati; Bacillota; Clostridia; Eubacteriales; Clostridiaceae
Description: bacterial SSU rRNA
Rfam family: Bacterial small subunit ribosomal RNA
Source: RNAcentral
UGGGGAAUAUUGCACAGUGGGGGGAAACCCGUCGAUGCAGCGACGCCGCGUGAACGAAGAAGUAUUUCGGUAUGUAAAGUUCUAUCAGCAGGGAAGAUAAUGACGGUACCUGACUAAGAAGCACCGGCUAAAUACGUGCCAGCAGCCGCGGUAAUACGUAUGGUGCAAACGUUAUCCGGAUUUACUGGGUGUAAAGGGAGCGUAGACGGCAUGGCAAGUCUGAAGUGAAAUGCGGGGGGCUCAACCCCUGAACUGCUUUGGAAACUGUCAGGCUGGAGUGCAGGAGAGGUAAGUGGAAUUCCUAGUGUAGCGGUGAAAUGCGUAGAUAUUAGGAGGAACACCAGUGGCGAAGGCGGCUUACUGGACUGUAACUGACGUUGAGGCUCGAAAGCGUGGGGGAGCAAACAGGAUUAGAUACCCUGGUAGU